Molecule: ribosomal RNA, 256 nt
Filed under: uncultured bacterium
Lineage: Bacteria
Description: partial 16S ribosomal RNA
Rfam family: Bacterial small subunit ribosomal RNA
Source: RNAcentral
CACGUAGGGUGCGAGCGUUUGUCCGGAAUUAUUGGGCGUAAAGAGCUCGUAGGCGGUGUGUCGCGUCGGCCGUGAAAACCUGCAGCUUAACUGUGGGCGUGCGGUCGAUACGGGCAUCACUGGAGUUCGGCAGGGGAGACUGGAAUUCCUGGUGUAGCGGUGAAAUGCGCAGAUAUCAGGAAGAACACCCGUGGCGGAAGGCGGCUCUCUGGGACGGUACUGACGCUGAGACGCGAAAGCGUGGGGAGCGAACAGG